RNAcentral lists this ribosomal RNA (354 nucleotides) under bacterium LimB-10-A-326. RNAcentral describes it as "bacterial SSU rRNA". It matches the Rfam family "Bacterial small subunit ribosomal RNA", at positions 289 to 635 of the family's 1533-position model. The record is from RNAcentral.
GACCUGAGAGGGUGAUCGGCCACACUGGGACUGAGACACGGCCCAGACUCCUACGGGAGGCAGCAGUAGGGAAUCUUCCGCAAUGGACGAAAGUCUGACGGAGCAACGCCGCGUGAGUGAUGAAGGUUUUCGGAUCGUAAAGCUCUGUUGUUAGGGAAGAACAAGUGCAAGAGUAACUGCUUGCACCUUGACGGUACCUAACCAGAAAGCCACGGCUAACUACGUGCCCGCAGCCGCGGUAAUUCGUAGGUGGCAAGCGUUGUCUGGAAUUAUUGGGCGUAAAGGGCUCGCAGGCGGUUUCUUAAGUCUGAUGUGAAAGCCCCCGGCUCAACCGGGGAGGGUCAUUGGAAACUG